AGAUUAAGUUAUUAAGGGCGCACGGUGGAUGCCUUGGCACUAGAAGCCGAUGAAGGACGUUACUAACGACGAUAUGCUUUGGGGAGCUGUAAGUAAGCGUUGAUCCAGAGAUUUCCGAAUGGGGAAACCCAGCAUGAGUUAUGUCAUGUUAUCGAUAUGUGAAUACAUAGCAUAUCAGAAGGCAGACCCGGAGAACUGAAACAUCUUAGUACCCGGAGGAAGAGAAAGAAAAAUCGAUUCCCUGAGUAGCGGCGAGCGAAACGGGAAGAGCCCAAACCAACAAGCUUGCUUGUUGGGGUUGUAGGACACUCUAUACGGAGUUACAAAAGUAUAUAUUAGACGAAUCAUCUGGAAAGUUGAAUCAAAGAAGGUAAUAAUCCUGUAGUCGAAAAUAUAUACUCUCUUGAGUGGAUCCUGAGUACGACGGAGCACGUGAAAUUCCGUCGGAAUCUGGGAGGACCAUCUCCUAAGGCUAAAUACUCUCUAGUGACCGAUAGUGAACCAGUACCGUGAGGGAAAGGUGAAAAGUACCCCGGAAGGGGAGUGAAAGAGAACUUGAAACCGUGUGCUUACAAGUAGUCAGAGCCCGUUAAUGGGUGAUGGCGUGCCUUUUGUAGAAUGAACCGGCGAGUUACGAUUUGAUGCAAGGUUAAGCAGCUAAUGUGGAGCCGUAGCGAAAGCGAGUCUGAAUAGGGCGUUUAGUAUUUGGUCGUAGACCCGAAACCAGGUGAUCUACCCUUGGUCAGGUUGAAGUUCAGGUAACACUGAAUGGAGGACCGAACCGACUUACGUUGAAAAGUGAGCGGAUGAACUGAGGGUAGCGGAGAAAUUCCAAUCGAACUUGGAGAUAGCUGGUUCUCUCCGAAAUAGCUUUAGGGCUAGCCUCAAGUGAUGAUUAUUGGAGGUAGAGCACUGUUUGGACGAGGGGCCCUUCUCGGGUUACCGAAUUCAGACAAACUCCGAAUGCCAAUCAAUUUAACUUGGGAGUCAGAACAUGGGUGAUAAGGUCCGUGUUCGAAAGGGAAACAGCCCAGACCACCAGCUAAGGUCCCAAAAUAUAUGUUAAGUGGAAAAGGAUGUGGCGUUGCCCAGACAACUAGGAUGUUGGCUUAGAAGCAGCCAUCAUUUAAAGAGUGCGUAAUAGCUCACUAGUCGAGUGACACUGCGCCGAAAAUGUACCGGGGCUAAACAUAUUACCGAAGCUGUGGAUUGUCCGUAGGACAAUGGUAGGAGAGCGUUCUAAGGGCGUCGAAGCAUGAUCGCAAGGACAUGUGGAGCGCUUAGAAGUGAGAAUGCCGGUGUGAGUAGCGAAAGACGGGUGAGAAUCCCGUCCACCGAUUGACUAAGGUUUCCAGAGGAAGGCUCGUCCGCUCUGGGUUAGUCGGGUCCUAAGCUGAGGCCGACAGGCGUAGGCGAUGGAUAACAGGUUGAUAUUCCUGUACCACCUAGUAUCGUUUUAAUCGAUGGGGGGACGCAGUAGGAUAGGCGAAGCGUGCUAUUGGAUUGCACGUCCAAGCAGUAAGACUGAGUGUUAGGCAAAUCCGGCACUCAUAAGGUCAAGCUGUGAUGGGGAGAGGAAAUUGUUUCCUCGAGUCGUUGAUUUCACACUGCCAAGAAAAGCCUCUAGAUAGAUAACAGGUGCCCGUACCGCAAACCGACACAGGUAGUCAAGAUGAGAAUUCUAAGGUGAGCGAGCGAACUCUCGUUAAGGAACUCGGCAAAAUGACCCCGUAACUUCGGGAGAAGGGGUGCUCUUUAGGGUUAACGCCCAGAAGAGCCGCAGUGAAUAGGCCCAAGCGACUGUUUAUCAAAAACACAGGUCUCUGCUAAACCGUAAGGUGAUGUAUAGGGGCUGACGCCUGCCCGGUGCUGGAAGGUUAAGAGGAGUAGUUAGCUUCUGCGAAGCUACGAAUCGAAGCCCCAGUAAACGGCGGCCGUAACUAUAACGGUCCUAAGGUAGCGAAAUUCCUUGUCGGGUAAGUUCCGACCCGCACGAAAGGCGUAACGAUUUGGGCACUGUCUCAACGAGAGACUCGGUGAAAUCAUAGUACCUGUGAAGAUGCAGGUUACCCGCGACAGGACGGAAAGACCCCGUGGAGCUUUACUGUAGCCUGAUAUUGAAAUUCGGCACAGCUUGUACAGGAUAGGUAGGAGCCUUUGAAACGUGAGCGCUAGCUUACGUGGAGGCAUUGGUGGGAUACUACCCUAGCUGUGUUGGCUUUCUAACCCGCACCACUUAUCGUGGUGGGAGACAGUGUCAGG
RNAcentral lists this ribosomal RNA (2262 nucleotides) under Staphylococcus warneri. RNAcentral describes it as "partial 23S ribosomal RNA". It matches the Rfam family "Bacterial large subunit ribosomal RNA", at positions 1 to 2261 of the family's 2925-position model. The record is from RNAcentral. Lineage: Bacteria; Bacillati; Bacillota; Bacilli; Caryophanales; Staphylococcaceae.